AACGAACGCUGGCGGCAGGCUUAACACAUGCAAGUCGAACGGGUGCAGCAAUGCAUCAGUGGCAGACGGGUGAGUAACACGUGGGAACCUUCCUAGGGGUACGGAACAACUCAGGGAAACUUGAGCUAAUACCGUAUACGUCCGUGAGGAGAAAGAUUUAUCGCCCUUAGACGGGCCCGCGUCGGAUUAGCUAGUUGGUGGGGUAACGGCCUACCAAGGCGACGAUCCGUAGCUGAUCUUAGAGGAUGAUCAGCCACACUGGGACUGAGACACGGCCCAGACUCCUACGGGAGGCAGCAGUGGGGAAUCUUGGACAAUGGGCGCAAGCCUGAUCCAGCCAUGCCGCGUGAGUGAAGAAGGUCUUCGGAUUGUAAAGCUCUUUUGCCAGGGACGAUAAUGACGGUACCUGGAGAAUAAGCCCCGGCAAACUUCGUG
This 435-nucleotide ribosomal RNA is filed under the name uncultured bacterium. RNAcentral's name for it is "bacterial SSU rRNA". It matches the Rfam family "Bacterial small subunit ribosomal RNA", at positions 29 to 507 of the family's 1533-position model. The record is from RNAcentral.